GCAGAGGCAAGGGGAUCAGUCGAGCCCCGCUGGUGGGAUGAGUCUGCCGGGACAAGGGGUGCUAGCUGUGGUCCUCGUCUGCCUUGUUCUCAGCUGUAUCCUGGCCCCCAGAUGAAGCCUGGCCACAGUGUACUUGGUAAAUAGUGGUUGCAGGAAUGACUGAAAUCCUGGCCUGAGUGAGCUCACAACUUUCCAUAUGAGGCAAAUAAGCAGAUCUGUUGGUUAUGACCCAGAUACGUGGUGACCAGGGCAAACGUUUGUCAGAGGAGUGACGGGUGGGGGCUGGACUGUCUUCCCGGUACAGCUGUGGAGGAAAGCAGGCAGUGCAGCUGGGACAUGCAGCCGCUGUCCCCUGGGGCUGGCGGAAGGGUGUGGAGUGACGGAGAGGGAGAGCUGCUGAUCAGGGAGCUGGGCAUCCCGUUGCAGCCUUACUGGGAAGCUUGCAUCCCAGAGCCGACUUGCCUCACCUUUAUUCAGGGAUUCAGGCCCUUCCCCUCCCCCAAGGGCUUGCUUAAUUCCCCUGGCUUCCUUGAGGCAUACUCAGAAAUUCCUUUCAGUUCCCCUUUCUGCUGGCUGUGCUUGAGGCAGGGAUGGGCCAAAUACCCUCCACGCCCUUGGUCCAUCCAGAAGUACUGAGUCAACAGCCCUUUCCCAGAAUCUAC
RNAcentral lists this long non-coding RNA (662 nucleotides) under Homo sapiens (human). RNAcentral describes it as "LHRI_LNC1134.1". The record is from RNAcentral. Lineage: Eukaryota; Metazoa; Chordata; Mammalia; Primates; Hominidae.